RNAcentral lists this ribosomal RNA (497 nucleotides) under uncultured bacterium. Its description in RNAcentral is "partial 16S ribosomal RNA". It matches the Rfam family "Bacterial small subunit ribosomal RNA", at positions 28 to 507 of the family's 1533-position model. The record is from RNAcentral.
GAUGAACGCUGGCGGCGUGCCUAAUACAUGCAAGUCGAGCGAACAGACGAGGAGCUUGCUCCUCUGACGUUAGCGGCGGACGGGUGAGUAACACGUGGAUAACCUACCUAUAAGACUGGGAUAACUUCGGGAAACCGGAGCUAAUACCGGAUAAUAUAUCGAACCGCAUGGUUCAAUAGUGAAAGACGGUUUUGCUGUCACUUAUAGAUGGAUCCGCGCCGCAUUAGCUAGUUGGUAAGGUAACGGCUUACCAAGGCAACGAUGCGUAGCCGACCUGAGAGGGUGAUCAGCCACACUGGAACUGAGACACGGUCCAGACUCCUACGGGAGGCAGCAGUAGGGAAUCUUCCGCAAUGGGCGAAAGCCUGACGGAGCAACGCCGCGUGAGUGAUGAAGGUCUUCGGAUCGUAAAACUCUGUUAUUAGGGAAGAACAAAUGUGUAAGUAACUAUGCACGUCUUGACGGUACCUAAUCAGAAAGCCACGGCUAGCUACGUG